RNAcentral lists this small nuclear RNA (19 nucleotides) under Arabidopsis thaliana (thale cress). RNAcentral describes it as "snRNA_02706". The record is from RNAcentral. Lineage: Eukaryota; Viridiplantae; Streptophyta; Magnoliopsida; Brassicales; Brassicaceae.
CCACUCGCAGAAAGAGCGC